GACGAACGCUGGCGGCGUGCUUAACACAUGCAAGUCGAACGGAAAGGCCCUGCUUUUGUGGGGUUCUCGAUGGGCGAACGGGUGAGUAACACGUGAGUAACCUGCCCUUGACUUUGGGAUAACUUCAGGAAACUGGGGCUAAUACCGGAUAGGAGCUCCUGCGGCAUGGUGGGGGUUGGAAAGUUUCGGCGGCUGGGGAUGGUCUCGCGGCUUAUCAGCUUGUUGGUGAGGUAGUGGCUUACCAAGGCUUUGCCGGGUAGCCGGCCUGAGGGGGUGACCGGCCACAUUGGGACUGCGUUACGGCCCAGCCUCCUCCGGGAGGCCACAGUGGGGAAUAUUGCACCAUCGGCGGACGCCUGAUGCAGCACCCCCGCGUGCGGGAUGACGGCAUUCGGGUUGUAAACCGCUUUCGCAUGUGACGAAGCGUGAGUGACGGUAAUGGGUAAAGAAGCACCGGCUAACUACGUG
RNAcentral lists this ribosomal RNA (468 nucleotides) under uncultured bacterium. Its description in RNAcentral is "partial 16S ribosomal RNA". It matches the Rfam family "Bacterial small subunit ribosomal RNA", at positions 28 to 507 of the family's 1533-position model. The record is from RNAcentral.